RNAcentral lists this transfer RNA (72 nucleotides) under Eggerthella sp. CAG:298. It matches the Rfam family "tRNA". From Rfam's summary of the family: Transfer RNA (tRNA) molecules are approximately 80 nucleotides in length. Their secondary structure includes four short double-helical elements and three loops (D, anti-codon, and T loops). The record is from Rfam by way of RNAcentral. Lineage: Bacteria; Bacillati; Actinomycetota; Coriobacteriia; Eggerthellales; Eggerthellaceae.
GCGGGCGUCGUAUAAUGGCUAUUAUGCGGGCUUCCCAAGCCUAAGACGCGGGUUCGAUUCCCGUCGCCCGCU